RNAcentral lists this ribosomal RNA (407 nucleotides) under uncultured bacterium. RNAcentral describes it as "partial 16S ribosomal RNA". It matches the Rfam family "Bacterial small subunit ribosomal RNA", at positions 28 to 526 of the family's 1533-position model. The record is from RNAcentral.
GACGAACGCUGGCGGCGUGCCUAAUACAUGCAAGUAGAACGCAGUUGCGAACGGGUGAGUAAAGCGUAGGUAACUGCCUCAUAGCAGGGGAUAACUAAUGGAAAAGAUAGCUAAUACCGCAUACUGUGGGAUGGACCGGCGUUGUUUUCGGUGGGUGGUGAGGGAAAGGCUCACCAGGGCGACGAUACAUAGCCGACCUGAAAGGGGGUACGGCCAACCGGGGACUGAGAAAACGCCCCGACUCCUACGGGAGGCAGCAGUAGGGAAUCUUCGGAAAUGGACGGAAGUCUGACCGAGCAACGCCGCGGUAGUGAAGAAGGUUUUCGGGUCGUAAAGCUCUGUUGUUAGAGAAGCGGUAACUAACCAGAAAGGGACGGCUAACUACGUGCCAGCCGCCGCGGUAAUUC